Molecule: ribosomal RNA, 530 nt
Filed under: uncultured bacterium
Lineage: Bacteria
Description: bacterial SSU rRNA
Rfam family: Bacterial small subunit ribosomal RNA
Source: RNAcentral
AAUAGAUACCCAGGUAGUCCAUGCCGUAAACGUUGGGCACUAGGUGUGGGGCUCAUUCCACGAGUUCCGUGCCGCAGCAAACGCAUUAAGUGCCCCGCCUGGGGAGUACGGCCGCAAGGCUAAAACUCAAAGGAAUUGACGGGGGCCCGCACAAGCGGCGGAGCAUGCGGAUUAAUUCGAUGCAACGCGAAGAACCUUACCAAGGCUUGACAUGCACGGGAAGCCACCAGAGAUGGUGGUCUCUUUGGACACUCGUGCACAGGUGGUGCAUGGUUGUCGUCAGCUCGUGUCGUGAGAUGUUGGGUUAAGUCCCGCAACGAGCGCAACCCUCGUCCCAUGUUGCCAGCGGGUUAUGCCGGGGACUCAUGGGAGACUGCCGGGGUCAACUCGGAGGAAGGUGGGGAUGACGUCAAAUCAUCAUGCCCCUUAUGUCUUGGGCUUCACGCAUGCUACAAUGGCCGGUACAAAGGGCUGCGAUGCCGUAAGGUGGAGCGAAUCCCAAAAAGCCGGUCUCAGUUCGGAUUGGGGUC